This 119-nucleotide ribosomal RNA is filed under the name Panthera pardus (leopard). Lineage: Eukaryota; Metazoa; Chordata; Mammalia; Carnivora; Felidae. The record is from RNAcentral.
GUCUAUGGCCAUACCAGCAUGAAUGCCAUUGACCCUGUCUUCUCUCCGAAGCUAAGCAGGGUCGGGCCUGGUUAGCACUUGCAUGGGCGACCGCCUGGGAAUACCGUGUGCUGUAGGCU